RNAcentral lists this unclassified non-coding RNA (590 nucleotides) under Hevea brasiliensis (rubber tree). Lineage: Eukaryota; Viridiplantae; Streptophyta; Magnoliopsida; Malpighiales; Euphorbiaceae. The record is from RNAcentral.
GGGGAUCGCGUCGGCGCCCACCCUCGCUCCCCCCGCCACCCGUUGCAGCCCUCCCAUCGCUGCUCCCUCUCGCCUCCUGACACUCCAUCUCAAACCCCAAAGCAUCAGAGCUUCCAAUGGUAGAGAUGCUGUGCGGUGCUGCUGCAGCAGCAGCAGCAACGGCAAACCAGGAUCCAGUUCAGAUGAGAACGACAGUAAAGUUGUUUUGGAUGCAUUUUUCCUGGGCAAGGCUUUUGCAGAGGCACUGAAUGAACGCAUAGGAUCUACUGUGGGGGAAGUAUUGAGCGUGGUCGGUCAAUGGCAAGCUGAGCAACAAAAAGAAGUGCAAGUUUUUCAGGAGGAGGUGAUAGAGAGAGCCAAGAAAGCGAAGGAGAAGGCUGCAUUAGAGGUAAAAGGGGAACAAAGCAGAAUACCGACGACGGUGACUCCUGUUUCGACACCGCCUUUGGGUCCUACUUCAGAUGAUCCUUUCCAAGAGAUGAUGAAGGACUAGCUCAGUCAUUUUUAAUCCAGUUUUACCUAAUAAUAUUUAAGUAAAAGUGAGCCUAUCAUUUCAUCUUUAAGCAUCUUUUGGCCUAUAUAAACCUUAC